GACCGCGUAGCUCUGUUGGCAGAGCAUUGGGCUAGUAUUCCAAAGGUCGUAGGUUCGAUUCCCACCGUGGCCA
Molecule: transfer RNA, 73 nt
Filed under: Paramuricea clavata
Lineage: Eukaryota; Metazoa; Cnidaria; Anthozoa; Malacalcyonacea; Plexauridae
Rfam family: tRNA
About the family: Transfer RNA (tRNA) molecules are approximately 80 nucleotides in length. Their secondary structure includes four short double-helical elements and three loops (D, anti-codon, and T loops).
Source: Rfam by way of RNAcentral